This 497-nucleotide ribosomal RNA is filed under the name uncultured bacterium. Its description in RNAcentral is "partial 16S ribosomal RNA". It matches the Rfam family "Bacterial small subunit ribosomal RNA", at positions 28 to 507 of the family's 1533-position model. The record is from RNAcentral.
GAUGAACGCUGGCGGCGUGCCUAAUACAUGCAAGUCGAGCGAACGGACGCGAAGCUUGCGGCUCUGAUGUUAGCGGCGGACGGGUGAGUAACGCGUGGAUAACCUACCUAUAAGACUGGGAUAACCUCGGGAAACCGGAGCUAAUACCGGAUAAUCUUUUGAACCGCAUGGUUCAAUAGUGAAAGACGGUCUUGCUGUCACUUAUAGAUGGAUCCGCGCUGCAUUAGCUAGUUGUUAAGGUAACGGCUUACCAAGGCAACCAUGCAUAACCUACCUGAGAGGGUGAUAGGCGACCUUGGAACGUGGACAGGGUCAAGACUCCUAAGGGAGGGAGCAGUAGGGAAUGUGAGGCAAUGGGCGAAAGCCUGACGGAGCGACGCCGCGUGAGUGAUGAAGGCCUUGGGAUCGUAAAACUCGGUUAUGAGGGAAGAACAUAUGUGUAAGUAACUGUGGACAUAGUGACGGUACCGAAUCAGAAAGCCACGGCUAACUACGUG